AUUGAACGCUGGCGGUAUGCUUUACACAUGCAAGUCGAACGGCAGCAUAGGUGCUUGCACCUGAUGGCGAGUGGCGAACGGGUGAGUAAUGCAUCGGAACGUGCCCAGUCGUGGGGGAUAACGCAGCGAAAGCUGUGCUAAUACCGCAUACGAUCUAUGGAUGAAAGCGGGGGACCUUCGGGCCUCGCGCGAUUGGAGCGGCCGAUGUUAGAUUAGGUAGUUGGUGAGGUAAAGGCUCACCAAGCCUACGAUCUAUAGCUGGUCUGAGAGGACGACCAGCCACACUGGAACUGAGACACGGUCCAG
Molecule: ribosomal RNA, 306 nt
Filed under: uncultured bacterium
Lineage: Bacteria
Description: bacterial SSU rRNA
Rfam family: Bacterial small subunit ribosomal RNA
Source: RNAcentral